CCUACGGGGGGCAGCAGUGAGGAAUAUUGGUCAAUGGACGCAAGUCUGAACCAGCCAAGUAGCGUGCAGGAUGACGGCCCUCCGGGUUGUAAACUGCUUUUAGUUGGGAAUAAAAGGGUGCUCGUGAGCCCCGUAUUGUAUGUACCAUCAGAAAAAGGACCGGCUAAUUCCGUGCCAGCAGCCGCGGUAAUACGGAAGGUCCGGGCGUUAUCCGGAUUUAUGGGGUUUAAAGGGAGCGUAGGCCGGCUUUUAAGUCAGCUGGGAAAGUCGGCGGCUCAACCGCUGAAUUGCAGUUGAAACUGGAGUCCUUGAGUGCACACAGGGAUGCCGGAAUUCAUGGUGUAGCGGUGAAAUGCUUAGAUAUCAUGAAGAACUACGAUCGCGAAGGCAAGUGUCCGGGGUGCAACUGACGCUGAGGCUCGAAAGUGCGGGUAUCAAACAGGAUUAGAUACCCCAGUAGUC
This 462-nucleotide ribosomal RNA is filed under the name uncultured bacterium. Its description in RNAcentral is "partial 16S ribosomal RNA". It matches the Rfam family "Bacterial small subunit ribosomal RNA", at positions 338 to 795 of the family's 1533-position model. The record is from RNAcentral.